This 440-nucleotide ribosomal RNA is filed under the name uncultured bacterium. Its description in RNAcentral is "partial 16S ribosomal RNA". It matches the Rfam family "Bacterial small subunit ribosomal RNA", at positions 338 to 795 of the family's 1533-position model. The record is from RNAcentral.
CCUACGGGAGGCUGCAGUAGGGAAUAUUGCUCAAUGGGGGAAACCCUGAAGCAGCAACGCCGCGUGGAGGAUGAAGGUUUUCGGAUUGUAAACUCCUUUUGUUAGAGAAGAUAAUGACGGUAUCUAACGAAUAAGCACCGGCUACCUCCGUUCCAGCAGCCGCGGUCAUACGGAGGGUGCAAGCGUUACUCGGAAUCACUGGGCGUAAAGAGCGCGUAGGCGGGAUAGCAAGUCAGAUGUGAAAUCCUAUGGCUUAACCAUAGAACUGCAUUUGAAACUGUUAUUCUAGAGUAUGGGAGAGGUAGGUGGAAUUCUUGGUGUAGGGGUAAAAUCCGUAGAGAUCAAGAGGAAUACUCAUUGCGAAGGCGACCUGCUAGAACAUAACUGACGCUGAUGCGCGAAAGCGUGGGGAGCAAACAGGAUUAGAUACCCCAGUAGUC